UAUUACAAUUGUGUCGGAAU
This 20-nucleotide microRNA is filed under the name Spodoptera frugiperda (fall armyworm). RNAcentral describes it as "sfr-miR-10454b-5p". The record is from miRBase by way of RNAcentral. Lineage: Eukaryota; Metazoa; Arthropoda; Insecta; Lepidoptera; Noctuidae.